RNAcentral lists this unclassified non-coding RNA (374 nucleotides) under soil metagenome. RNAcentral describes it as "partial contains internal transcribed spacer 2 and large subunit ribosomal RNA". The stretch from base 1 to 120 matches the Rfam family "5.8S ribosomal RNA", at positions 35 to 154 of the family's 154-position model. The record is from RNAcentral.
GAUGAAGAACGUAGCGAAAUGCGAUAAUUAAUGUGAAUUGCAGAAUUCCGUGAAUCAUCGAGUCUUUGAACGCACAUUGCGCCUCAUGGCGUUCCGUGAGGCAUGCCCAUCUCAGCGUUAGAAAAUAUUCUCAAAUUUUAGUUUUGUGCUAAAAUUUGGAUCAUGUCAAGGAAGCUAUUACUAUUAUUGUGAUCGCUCUUUGGAAAUUGAUAGGUCUUUGAGUUGCUACUCAUAGAACGUGAUGAAUCUUUCUUCGUUCUAUUGUAAUUCACUCUGGUAGUCCUAAAACUUGUAUGCCUGUGGCAUAUCUUGUAAUUUGACCUGAGAUUGGGUAGGGAUACCCGCUGAACUUAAGCAUAUCAAUAAGCGGAGGA